GUAAAGGCAACGGUUCUGCUUUCAGCAACCUCUUUUCGAAGGGAAAAAGGAGCUCGCCCGGAAUCGUUAAAUUUAACAGAAUGUCCGAAAUAUUGCUCAUUUUGUAACCGGAAAAUGCUGAGGACUCUUCGUUCCCGGCGCCGUCCUCGUUACGGUGCACAGGUGUGCGCCGUCAUCGCUGCUCUUCUUCUCCUCUUGUCGGUCACAGUUCUGCACAGUCGCCUUAGCUUCUCUCGCGACUCCCGCCUCUCCCCCAAAGUAGGGUUAGGGUUACGGUUUCCAAAUUCUAAAGUUCCCCCAGUAGACCCUCAAAACGACGCCGUUGUACUAGAUCCGCUCACCCAGGACUCCGAUCCCGGUGGAAACUCCGGCGCCGACGACCGGAUCGAUGAACUCGAUGUGAUGGAAGAGGAGGCGGAUCAGGCUGGGCUUUCCAACGAGGAGGAGAUUCUGAGAGGGGUGGAGUCGGAGGAUGAGGAGGUCGGUGAGUCUAGGGUUUCUGGGUAUUUCUUUGAUCAUGUGAGCGGGGUCAUACGACGAGCUUUUGAUAAGCGUUCGAUCGAUCAGUGGGAGGAUUAUGUGGGUUUUGAUGUUGGAUCGGGUAUGGACGAUCGGAGCAAGGGCGUGUUUGCGUCGGAUGAUGUGGUGGUUGAUGAGGAGGUGAGGAGGAAGGUGGGAGAGGUGGAUGGGAUCGAAGACAUGCUUUUGUUGAAGACGGGGCGGCGAGCAAAUCCAUUGAGAGAGGGCUGGGGCCCUUGGUUUGAUGCAAAAAGCGAUUUUCUGAGAAGGGAUAGAAUGUUCAAGUCGAAUUUGGAGGUGUUGAAUCCGAUGAAUAAUCCACUUCUGCAGGAUCCCGACGGGAUCGGAAUUACCAGCCUGACUAGGGGUGAUAGACUUGUUCAGAAGUUUUUGUUGAACAAAUUUAAGAAAGUUCCUUUCCUGGUUAAGAAAUCAUUGGGUGUUUCAGCUACUACAAAUCUUGGAUCGAGAUUGGUAGAAGAUGGUGGUCAAGUGGCAAUGAAGAUACGUGAUAGUUUAAAUAUACAGAAAAUCACAUUGGGGAGUGAUGUGGAAGGUAGAAGAACUGAAAUUAGGAGAGCUGAGCGCAGAACUUUACAUGACAGCUAUGGUUUUGGUUUGAAUACUAAAAAAAUUGUCGAUGUUAAUGAGGUUUUAAAUGUCACUACUACUGGGAAUUCAUCAUACAAGCAUGAUAGGAAUGAGACUGUUGAAUACAAAAGCGUGCAAAAUAUUAGUGAAUUGGGUCACAAGAAUGGGGAUUCUAAAGCUAGGAGAUUGGGUCACAAGAAUGAGGAUUCCAAAGCUAGGAGGAAAUCUGAGUUGUCUGGUCACAUAUACGCUGAUGGGAAGAGAUGGGGAUAUUUUCCUGGUUUACAUCCCCGCUUAUCUUUUUCAAACUUCAUGAAUGCGUUCAUCAGGAAAGGGAAGUGUCGGAUGAGGUUUUUCAUGGUGUGGAAUUCCCCACCAUGGAUGUUUAGCAUUAGACACCAACGUGGUCUUGAGAGUCUACUCUCCCACCAUCGAGAUGCUUGUGUUGUGGUAUUUUCUGAGACAAUUGAGCUUGAUUUCUUCAAAGACUUUGUAGAGAAGGGUUUCAAAGUUGCUGUUGCCAUGCCAAAUCUUGAUGAACUUCUGAAGAAUACAGCAGCUCAUAUAUUUGCAUCUGUCUGGUUUGAAUGGAGAAAAACAAACUUCUAUUCUACUCACUACAGUGAACUUGUUCGUCUUGCUGCUCUCUACAAAUAUGGUGGAAUCUAUCUUGAUUCUGACAUUAUUGUCGUGAAACCUCUUUCUUCACUUAAUAAUUCUGUUGGCUUAGAGGAUCAACUUGCUGGAAGUUCUUUAAAUGGUGCUGUGAUGGUAUUUAGAAAGCACAGCCCUUUCAUAAUGGAGUGCUUGAAUGAGUUCUAUUCAACAUAUGAUGAUACAUGUUUGAAGUGUAAUGGGGCUGAUCUUUUGACAAGAGUAGCUAAAAAUUUUUUGAGUAAAGAAAAUGCCUCUGAUAAACAGCUGGAGCUUCUAGUGCAGCCCUCCUUUAUUUUCUUCCCUAUUAGUCCUCACAAUAUCACAAGGUACUUUACUACACCUGCAACAGAAACUGAAAAGGCUGAGCAAGAUAUUUUGUUUUCAAAGAUUCUGAAUGAGUCUUUCACAUUUCAUUUUUGGAAUAGCUUGACGUCAGCUCUCAUUCCAGAGCCUGAGAGUCUUGUAGCAAGGCUUAUUGACCACUCAUGUAUCCGAUGCUCUGAUGUGUUAUGAAUUUUUUCUAAAUUUAGUUAAAAGUAGAAGAUCCAGAUACAUCCAGGUUUGUCAAAGAAUUCAAUUUUUGCCCAGUGCUCGAAGAAAAUUCAGGGCCAUGUUUUGAAAACAUGAAGGACAGGGGAAACAUGUGUCAAGUACGGUGAAGUACAGUUCUAUUAUGCAUGGACAUCUUUUGUGCUGAAGAACUGGAAAUCUUCUGUCAAGUAGUGGUACAAAAUCAAUUUUGUAUGAGAGAUGAGUAAACUUGUAUUCUUUGUUUGUUUGCUGGUAAGGCAGCAUUUGUAUCAUACAUAAUUACAUCAUCAUUGUCCUUAAUUUUUACUGGUAAAAGAAUGGAGAAUUGAGUAAAUUUUUCAGUUGGAAGCAGAAUAUCUUUUAUUGGUGGUCUUCAUCUGUAGUACUGAACAGAGCAAUGAAACUUUUGCAGGAAUAUGGAAUCUUCGAGUAAUGGGUAGGUGGUUUGCUUUUUCUAGGCUGAUAAGUUGGUCGCCCAUGUGUGGAAAACCAGAGCCAAGUCCAUGAGGUAAAACAUUGGUUAGUUUACUGGAUUGCAAAAGACUCGGAGGCUGUUCUGAAUUGCCAUGUAACUAGUCAUUUUGAUCUCUUUUUACCUAAGAAUAUUGCAACUCUGAAGCAUAUCCCAGACCAAUUAAGUUUACUAACCUUGAGUUUA
Molecule: RNA transcript, 2956 nt
Organism: Vitis riparia (riverbank grape)
Lineage: Eukaryota; Viridiplantae; Streptophyta; Magnoliopsida; Vitales; Vitaceae
Exons: 7
Source: RefSeq, a predicted model, not a curated record